CAGCAGUAGGGAAUUUUCCACAAUGGACGAAAGUCUGAUGGAGCAAUGCCGCGUGAGCGAAGAAGGUUUUCGGAUCGUAAAGCUCUGUUGUAAGGGAAGAACAAGUACGGGAGUAACUGCCCGUACCUUGACGGUACCUUAUUAGAAAGCCACGGCUAACUACGUGCCAGCAGCCGCGGUAAUACGUAGGUGGCAAGCGUUGUCCGGAAUUAUUGGGCGUAAAGCGCGCGCAGGCGGCCUUUUAAGUYUGAUGUGAAAGCCCACGGCUCAACCGUGGAGGGUCAUUGGAAACUGGGGGACUUGAGUACAGAAGAGGAAAGCGGAAUUCCACGUGUAGCGGUGAAAUGCGUAGAGAUGUGGAGGAACACCAGUGGCGAAGGCGGCUUUCUGUCUGUAACUGACGCUGAGGCGCGAAAGCGUGGGGAGCAAACAGGAUUAGAUACCCGG
RNAcentral lists this ribosomal RNA (447 nucleotides) under uncultured Sporosarcina sp. RNAcentral's name for it is "bacterial SSU rRNA". It matches the Rfam family "Bacterial small subunit ribosomal RNA", at positions 349 to 789 of the family's 1533-position model. Lineage: Bacteria; Bacillati; Bacillota; Bacilli; Caryophanales; Caryophanaceae. The record is from RNAcentral.